GAGGAUUUAACUCAUACCCUUUCAUCUAUAUAAACUAAAUUGGUUUCACAAUCAAUCUCACAUUCUUGACCACUUACAAAUUUCCAUUGUCCCGCAAAUUUCUUUGAAAUCUUUUGCUUGUUCUUCAUCUAAACACAUCUAAAAAAACAUGGGUUUUCGUUUGCCCGGUAUUACUCAUGCUAAGCAAAAAUUUCGACACUCCCCCUCGAACCAAGCUGCUCCAAAGGGCUAUUUUGCAGUCUAUAUUGGGGAAAGCCAAAAGAAGCGGUUUGUGAUUCCAAUAUCAUACUUGAACCAGCCUUCGUUCAAAGACUUGCUAAGCCAGGCUGAAGAAGAAUUUGGAUAUAAUCAUCCCAUGGGUGGUAUCACAAUCCUUUGCAGUGAAGACAGAUUCCUUGACCUCAUUUCUAGCUCCAGUGGAUGAGACUGGAUGUUCACAUACAGUUUUGACAUCAAGGACAGCGGAAAUGUAACUUCUUGACAUCGAUUAUUGCCGACGUCGAUGGGAGUGGGAGGCUAACAUUAUGGAUUUAAGUACGGUUACAGAUAUUUUUUCAUCUGAGAAAACAGCCAUGUAAAUGAACUUAGGGAGUAACAUAUAGAUCGAUUGUUCUUCCUUUUGCAUAGGUGUUUCUCUUUUAUGACCAUUUCACA
Molecule: long non-coding RNA, 654 nt
Filed under: Prunus dulcis (almond)
Lineage: Eukaryota; Viridiplantae; Streptophyta; Magnoliopsida; Rosales; Rosaceae
Description: sRNA ncRNA
Source: RNAcentral